Molecule: ribosomal RNA, 439 nt
Filed under: uncultured bacterium
Lineage: Bacteria
Description: partial 16S ribosomal RNA
Rfam family: Bacterial small subunit ribosomal RNA
Source: RNAcentral
CUACGGGUUGCUGCAGUGAGGAAUAUUGCACAAUGGGGGGAACCCUGAUGCAGCAACGCCGCGUGGAGGAUGACGCAUUUCGGUGUGUAAACUCCUUUUAUAUGUCAAGAAAAUGACGGUAGCAUAUGAAUAAGCACCGGCUAACUCCGUGCCAGCAGCCGCGGCAAUACGGAGGGUGCAAGCGUUACUCGGAAUCACUGGGCGUAAAGGACGCGUAGGCGGGUUGGAAAGUCAGGUGUGAAAUCCUACAGCUUAACUGUAGAACUGCACUUGAAACUUCUAAUCUAGAGUAUGGGAGGGGGAGAUGGAAUUAGUGGUGUAGGGGUAAAAUCCGUAGAUAUCACUAGGAAUACCUAAAGCGAAGGCGAUCCCCUGGAACAUUACUGACGCUAAGGCGUGAAAGCGUGGGGAGCAAACAGGAUUAGAUACCCUGGUAGUC